Molecule: long non-coding RNA, 599 nt
Filed under: Homo sapiens (human)
Lineage: Eukaryota; Metazoa; Chordata; Mammalia; Primates; Hominidae
Description: non-protein coding lnc-ABCD3-1:1
Source: RNAcentral
CCCCGGAUUCACCCAGGCCCGCGACUCCGACGUGCAGCUUAGGUCUGAGGGUCAGUUGGCUCAGGCAUCGCCCGGUACGACCAGAGAUAGUGACUGAGGAAGAGCAGCCUCACAUCUGGCAGUUUGCCUCUGGGAGAAUUCCAGCGUGACAUCUGCAGCUCUGUGGUUCCAGAAAGGAUGGUUCCCACAUUGAAGAAGACAUCUGUGGGACUGAGUUCCACCGAAAUGCAGAGGAACCAAAAAUGAAAAUGAAAAAUGUAACCAGAGUUGUGUGCCACUAGUUUUAAGCUUUGGUUUUUCUAAAUUAUUUUCUGGCUUCUCCUUCUGGGCUUUGCUGUAAACUUGCCAAGCAUGAGAACAACUCUUCAUCUAUUGAGUGGCAUUUUAAGCCAUCCUGUCAAAGUAUCUCCUGUCAUUUUUAUUAUUAUUACUCUAUAUUGCCUGCAAGACACGACUGGAGAAUUCUUAGUGUAAGAAUUGUUUGUUUCCUCUCUCCUUCUUUCCCACGUUUUCCCAGGGAAGUCAGUCUUGCAUUUUAAUGCAUACUAUAUACAUAUCUCGUUUAGCUUACUGAACCACUUGUUUUAACAGAAUAAAAC